GCGCCCGUAGCUCAGGUGGAUAGAGCGCUGCCCUCCGGAGGCAGAGGUCUCAGGUUCGAAUCCUGUCGGGCGCGCCA
This 77-nucleotide transfer RNA is filed under the name Escherichia coli. Its description in RNAcentral is "tRNA-Arg". It matches the Rfam family "tRNA". From Rfam's summary of the family: Transfer RNA (tRNA) molecules are approximately 80 nucleotides in length. Their secondary structure includes four short double-helical elements and three loops (D, anti-codon, and T loops). The record is from RNAcentral. Lineage: Bacteria; Pseudomonadati; Pseudomonadota; Gammaproteobacteria; Enterobacterales; Enterobacteriaceae.